Molecule: RNA transcript, 6423 nt
Organism: Oncorhynchus kisutch (coho salmon)
Lineage: Eukaryota; Metazoa; Chordata; Actinopteri; Salmoniformes; Salmonidae
Gene name: exportin-T-like
Exons: 27
Source: RefSeq, a predicted model, not a curated record
GGUCAUGACCCCAACGAAAAUGUGACGUUUCCCGUUCCGUUGAAUCGACACGCCGCAAGAAAUCGACUCCUGAAAUUCCUGCUCUGAACCCUUAGCUGAGCUAAACAGACAAACUAGAAGUGCUUUUUUGGGUAAUUCCUGACGAUUUAGGGAUGUACUGACGGACGGAGACGAUGAAGAUAAAAGUAUAGCAAUAAGAUGUGCCUGGCCUGCCGGAGGGCAGCAACAGAAGACAGUGAAACUACAGCGGAGGGCAGCAACAGAGGACGGUGAAACUACCGUGGAGGGGAGCAACAGAAGACCUUCUCAUGGCCUGCCAGUCUGUCUCCAUCAUCAACAUGGACGAGCAGGCCCUGCUGGGGCUCAACCCUAACGCAGAUGCCUGCUAUAGGCAGAAGGCAAUGGUGUAUUUUGAGCAGUUGAAGGAGUCCCAGGAUGCCUGGGAGGUGUGUGCAGAGGCCCUGGCUAAAGGCAUUUACAGUGACGACCAUGUGAAGUUCUUCUGUUUCCAAGUCCUGGAGCACCAGAUCAAGUACAGACAUGGAGGGCUCAGUCCUGCCCAGCAACAGCUGAUCAGAGAAACCCUGAUGAAGUGGCUGCAGGGUCAGUUAAUGAACUCUCAACCAGAGAAGCCGUUCAUCCGUAACAAGGCAGCCCAGGUGUUUGCUCUGACCUUCGUGAUGGAGUACCUGACCCACUGGCCCAAGUUCUUCUUCGACCUGCUGUCUCUAGUGGGCCUGAACCCACAUGGGGUCGACGUCUACCUCAGAACACUGAUGGCUAUCGACGCUGAGGUGGUGGACAGAGACAUCCUGCACUCCCCUGAGGAGGUUCGUAGGAACACAUUAAUAAAAGAUGGUAUGAGGGAGCAGGUCAUCCCCAGCCUGGUUGAGUCCUGGUACCAGAUCCUCGGGGCCUAUCAGCAGUCUCACCCUGAGAUCACCUGUCAAUGUCUGGAGGUAGUGGGGGCAUACGUCUCCUGGAUAGACCUCAACCUCAUUGCCAACGACAGGUUUGUGAACCUGCUGCUGAGCCAGAUGUCUGUGGAGGACCUGAGAGAGGAGGCGUGUGACUGUCUGUUUGAGAUUGUCAAUAAAGGAAUGGACCCGACAGACAAGACCAAGCUGGUCGAGUCCCUCUGUCAGGUCCUGCAGUCGGCUGGCUUCUUCAACGUGGACCAGGAGGAGGAUGUGGACUUCCUGGCUAAGUUCUCCAGACUGGUGAACGGGAUGGGCCAGUCUCUGGUGCUGAGCUGGACCAAACUGGCCAAGGGGGGCGACGUGAAGGCAGCCGCCGAGGCGCUGCGUGCCCUCGAGACCAAGGUUCCUCUGCUCCUCCAGCUGCUGGUCCACGACGACGACGACAUCUCAGCCAACAUCGUCGGCUUCUGCUACGACUACCUGAACGUACUCAAACAGGGGUCCGAGUGGCAGAGUCACAUGCCUCAGGUAGGGAGAGGAGGACAGGAGGCCAUUGAAGAGUACUGGGACUCAGACAAGUUCCCGCUGCUGACAGACCAACAGAAGACUCACGUUGAGGACGUCAUGCUGGCCGUCAUGAAGAAACUAACUUAUGAUGAAGAGUACAACUUUGACAACGAGGGGGAGGAUGAAGCGAUGUUUGUAGAGUACAGGAAACAGUUGAAGAUGCUGUUGGACCGCCUGGCUCAGGUGUCUCCUGACCUGCUCCUGGAAGCUGUAGGCAGAGUCUUCAACAACACCAUACAGCGUUGGCAGACGGCAUCCUUCAUGGAGGUGGAGGUGGCCAUCAGGCUGCUGUACAUGCUAGGAGAGGCUCUGCCUGCGUCUCACGGAGCUCACUUCUCUGGCGACACGGCCAAGACCUCCGCCCUGCAGGAUAUGAUGAGAACUCUGGUCUCCUCUGGUCUCAGUGGUUACCAACACACGUCUGUGUCGCUGGAGUUCUUCGAGACGGUGGUUCGUUACGACAAGUUCUUCCUGGUUGAACCGCAGCACAUUCCUAAUGUCCUGAUGUCCUUUCUGGACCAUCGGGGUCUGAGACACAGCAGUCCUAAGGUCCGUAGCAGAGUGGCCUACCUCUUCUCGCGGUUCGUCAAGACACUGCAUAAACACAUGAACUCCUUCAUUGAAGACAUCCUGUCCAGGAUACAGGACCUGCUGGAGCUAGCACCUCCUGAGAACGGUUUCCCUGCGCUGCUGACCAGCGAUGACCAGCUGUUUAUAUUUGAGACGGCGGGGGUGUUGAUCGUCCACGGAGAGAGUCCCGCCGAGAGGAAGCAGGCUCUGAUGAGAUCCCUGCUGACCCCGUUGACCGACGCCUUCCGUCUGCUGCUGGCCAAACUGGCCUCUGAGAGGGAGGAGGAGAGGCAGGCUGCGCUGGCCGACUGUCUGAGUCACGCUGUUGGCUUCGCUAGUCGUACCAGUAAGGCGUUCAGCAACAAACAGACAGUGAAGCAGUGUGGAUGUACUGAAGUCUACAGAGACUGUCUGCAGACCUUCCUGCCUGCACUGAGCUGUCCUGUCCAGAGGGGGUCUCUGCGUAGCGCUGUCCGCUCCUUCCUCCACCGCAUGAUCAUCUGUCUCGAAGAAGAGGUCCUGCCCUUCGUCCCUGCGGCAUCGGAACACAUGCUGAAGGACUGCGAGGCCAAGGACCUGCAGGAGUUUAUACCCCUCAUCAGUCAGAUCACCGCUAAGUUCAAGGACCAGGUGUCUCCGUUCCUGCAGCAGGUGUUCAUGCCUCUGGUCCUGGCCAUCUUUGAGGUGUUGUGUCGACCUGCUGAGGACAACGACCAGGCAGCAGCUCUGGAGAAACAAAUGUUACGUAGAAGCUACUUCACCUUCAUCCAGACGAUAACCUCCAGUGGGAUGAACGAAGUCCUGGCCAACCAGGGUGUUGAGAACGUAGAGCGGGUUCUGUUCACCAUCAUCCAGGGAGCUGUCGACUUCCCCGACCCCAUCGCCCAGAAGACCUGCUUCAUCAUCUUGUCCAAGCUGGUGGAACUCUGGGGAGGUAAAGACGGUAUGGCUGGUUUCCCAGACUUCAUCUAUAAACACAUCGUCCCAGCAUGCUUCCUGGCUCCUCUCAAACCAUCCUUUGAUCUCACAGACGCUCAGACCGUCCUGACGUUGUCAGAGUGUGCUCUGACGUUGAAAAUGAUUCAUCUCAGAAGGGGUCCGGAGUUUAUCCAGUACCUUCAACAGGAGUACCUCCCUUCUCUACAGGUGUCACCUGAAAUCACACAGGAAGUGUGUCAAGUGCUUCAGCAGCCAGAUGCCAAGGUCCUCAAAAACUACAUGAAGGCUUUCUUUCAGCGAGCCAAACUGUAAAUACGAACCGAGCUGGAAGGAUUGAGAGAGGACACUGGAAACUAAGAGAAGACUGGUAGUGAGAUAGUACCACUCACUACGGACAGCCGGACAGAGAGAGAGACGGACGGAGAGAGAUCUUAAAGACGGAGAGCUUAGCAUAGGAGCGGCCUUAGCACUUCUGAAGGUAACUGCAUAACCCCGCCCAUCCUGUCCACGCGGGAGGGAACGGAGCCAAGACACAAGGACACGAGUGGUCAAGGAGGCUUUCACUGGGGUGACCACACCCCCCUCCACUGAUCCAGGCCCAAUCAAGGACGUGCUCUCCAUCUGGGGUGGUACCCUGGUCAAGUGAAGAUGUGAUUGGUUGGAUUCUCUGCAAGACAGGAAGUAAACUAGAGUAUAGAGGAAGGCUUAUGGAACAAGGCUUCCAUAGUAGAAUACCAAGUAUCCUUGAACAGGCCUGAGGCCUCAUCUGUCUGUUGGUAAUGAUCCAACAAUGACCUGAACACAAUCUAACGAUUAGGAUUUAUUCCUUUAGAAACAGGUAUUUGUUUUCAAGAUGUCUUUCAUUGGAGUGGUUGAACGUGGAGGUUUUGUUUCUCUUUGCCCUGUGAAUGAAUUGAUGGACUAAAUAAAAGGGCUGACUUGACAUGUUUUUCUACGUUUUUCUGUUGUGGAAGAAAUGGGAUGGUUGGGGUAGGAUGUGUUUUAGUUUGACGAGACGUACAGGACAGACCUCUAGCGGUGGAUGACAGACCUCUGUAACGGUGGAUGACAGACCUCUGUAACGGUGGAUGACAGACCUCUGUAACGGUGGAUGACAGACAGGACAGACCUCUGUAACGGUGGAUGACAGACAGGACAGACCUCUAGCGGUGGAUGACAGACAGGACAGACCUCUAGCGGUGGAUGACAGACCUCUGUAACGGUGGAUGACAGACCUCUGUAACGGUGGAUGACAGACCUCUGUAACGGUGGAUGACAGACCUCUGUAACGGUGGAUGACAGACCUCUGUAACGGUGGAUGACAGACCUCUGUAACGGUGGAUGACAGACCUCUGUAACGGUGGAUGACAGACAGGACAGACCUCUGUAACGGUGGAUGACAGACCUCUGUAACGGUGGAUGACAGACCUCUGUAACGGUGGAUGACAGACCUCUGUAACGGUGGAUGACAGACCUCUGUAACGGUGGAUGACAGACCUCUGUAACGGUGGAUGACAGACCUCUGGUUUAUUCUGCAUUUACUUUACCUUCUGUUCCAGUUUUAAGGUGCCCCUGUCCCUCAGAACGUUGUCAGGUACCCCCGUCCCUCAGAACGUUGUCAGGUGCCCCUGUCCCUCAGAACGUUGUCAGGUGCCCCUGUCCCUCAGAAUGUUGUCAGGUGCCCCUGUCCCUCAGAACGUUGUCAGGUACCCCUGUCCCUCAGAACGUUGUCAGGUACCCCUGUCCCUCAGAACGUUGUCAGGUGCCCCUGUCCCUCAGAACGUUGUCAGGUACCCCUGUCCCUCAGAACGUUGUCAGGUACCCCUGUCCCUCAGAACGUUGUCAGGUACCCCUGUCCCUCAGAACGUUGUCAGGUACCCCUGUCCCUCAGAACGUUGUCAGGUACCCCUGUCCCUCAGAACGUUGUCAGGUGCCCCUGUCCCUCAGAACGUUGUCAGGUGCCCCUGUCCCUCAGAACGUUGUCAGGUGCCCCUGUCCCUCAGAACGUUGUCAGGUACCCCUGUCCCUCAGAACGAUGUGAGGUGCCCCUGUCCCUCAGAACGUUGUCAGGUACCCCUGUCCCUCAGAACGUUGUCUGGUACCCCUGUCCCUCAGAACGUUGUCAGGUACCCCUGUCCCUCAGAACGUUGUCAGGUACCCCUGUCCCUCAGAACGUUGUCAGGUUGUCCCUCAGAACAUUGUCAGGAUGUCUUGAACGUCAGGGCCUCUAUUCAUGGUGUUUCGGUAGGAGUGCUGAUGGAGGAUGUUAUGAAUAAGAAGAGGUCGGACUAGAUCAGAUAUGCAUUAUGAACUCAAGCCCUGAACAAGGUUCUCCUCUACCCUCAGUCCCCUCAGACAGAAUAGGACCUGCCCUGAACAAGGUUCUCCUCUACCCUCAGUCCCCUCAGACAGAAUAGGACCUGCCCUGAACAAGGUUCUCCUCUACCCUCAGUCCCCUCAGACAGAAUAGGACCUGCCCUGAACAAGGUUCUCCUCUACCCUCAGUCCCCUCAGGGUGACUGAGUGAAGUCAUCCACUCUGCCCUCAGUCCCCUCAGGGGGGUGUGUGACUGAGUGAAGUCAUCCACUCUGCCCUCAUUCCCCUCAGGGGGGUGUGUGACUGAGUGAAGUCAUCCACUCUGCCCUCAGUCCCCUCGGGGGGGGGGGUGACUGAGUGAAGUCAUCCACUCUGCCCUCAGUCCCCUCAGGGGGGGGUGUGACUGAGUGAAGUCAUCCACUCUGCCCUCAGUCCCCUUGGGGGGGGGGGGGGGGGGUGUGACUGAGUGAAGUCAUCCACUCUGCCCUCAGUCCCCUCAGGGGGGGGGUGUGACUGAGUGAAGUCAUCCACUCUGCCCUCAGUCCCCUCAGGGGGGGGUGUGACUGAGUGAAGUCAUCCACUCUGCCCUCAGUCCCCUUGGGGGGGGGGGGGUGUGACUGAGUGAAGUCAUCCACUCUGCCCUCAGUCCCCUCGGGGGGGGGGGGGGACUGAGUGAAGUCAUCCACUCUGCCCUCAGUCCCCUCAGGGGGGGGUGUGACUGAGUGAAGUCAUCCACUCUGCCCUCAGUCCCCUCAGGGGGGUGUGUGACUGAGUGAAGUCAUCCACUCUGCCCUCAUUCCCCUCAGGGGGGUGUGUGACUGAGUGAAGUCAUCCACUCUGCCCUCAUUCCCCUCAGGGGGGUGUGUGACUGAGUGAAGUCAUCCACUCUGCCCUCAGUCCCCUCGGGGGGGGGGGGGGUGACUGAGUGAAGUCAUCCACUCUGCCCUCAACAGGAGAACUCUGGACCAGACUGACUAGCGGAGUGUUUACCCCGGUGGUCGUUACGACAACGUCACUUCCAGAAGGAAGUGGCGGAUCAAAAUGUAAAUGUUAUGUUUUAUUUUAAAGAAGGAAUAAUAUGUUGGGAUGUAAAUAAAUUAGUUUGAUGGUU